Molecule: transfer RNA, 72 nt
Filed under: Camelus bactrianus (Bactrian camel)
Lineage: Eukaryota; Metazoa; Chordata; Mammalia; Artiodactyla; Camelidae
Also listed under: 1 other name
Rfam family: tRNA
About the family: Transfer RNA (tRNA) molecules are approximately 80 nucleotides in length. Their secondary structure includes four short double-helical elements and three loops (D, anti-codon, and T loops).
Source: Rfam by way of RNAcentral
GAGGGUAUAGCUCAGUGGUACAGUGCAUGCUUAGCAUGCAUGAGGUCCGGUGUUCAAACCCCCGCACCUCCA